UGUGUCGCGCUCCUGCAGUCGGAGGUAGCACAGAGAGCUUGGUCUCGCGUGAGAGUGUGGGACGGGUGAGUAAAGUCUGGGGAUCUCCGCGAUAUAGGGGGAUAACCCCUGGGGACGGUGUGUAUAACCGCGUAACAUCUCAAGACCAAAAAGGGGGGCCUUCUGGGCUCUCUCUAUCGGAUGUGCCCCGAUGGGAUUAUCUAUUAUGCGGGGUAACGGCCCACCUAUGCGACAAUACCCAUCUGGGCUGAGAGGAUGACCACCCACACUGUAACUGAGACACGGUCCACACACCUACAGGAGGCGCCACUGGGGAAUAUUGUGCAAUGGGCGCAAGCCUGAUGCACCCAUGCCGCGUGUGUGAAAAAAGCCUUCUGGUUGUGAAGUACUUUCUCCGCGGAGGAAAGCGCUGAGGUUAAUAACCUUACUGAUUGAGGUUUCCCGCACAAAAAACACCGGCUAACUCCGUGCCACCACCCGCGGUAAUACAGAGGGUGCGAGCGCUAAUCUCAAUUACUGGGCGUAAAGCGCACACACGCGCUCUGUUAAAUCACAUAUGAAAACUCCGGGGUCAAACUGUGAACUGCGUUUUAGACUGUGACGCUUGAGUCUCUCAUAGAGGGGUAGAAUUCCCCGUGUGUCGCUGAAAUGCGUGUAGAUCUGGAGAAGUACCGGUGUCGAAAGCGGCCCCCUGUACAAAGACAGAGACUCUCGUGCGAAAGCGUGUGGAGAACACACGAUUAUAUACCCUGUGAGUCCACACCCCAUACAAUGUCUACUUGUAGGUUGUUCUCUUGAGGAGAGUGUCCCCAGCUAUCACGUUAAACUACACCCUCUGGAGUACAGCGCAAGUGAAAAUCUCAUGAGUUUCACGGGGCGCGCACAAAGCUGGAGCAUGUGUUUUUAUUCUAUGUACACGCAAACCUUAUAUACUCU
Molecule: ribosomal RNA, 936 nt
Filed under: uncultured prokaryote
Description: bacterial SSU rRNA
Rfam family: Bacterial small subunit ribosomal RNA
Source: RNAcentral